CCUGGUUCUAACUAGACAGCUGUGUUGAUUAUAAUGGGAGCAAUCUAGUUUUGUCACGUCUCUCUCUUUCUCUCUCAUGAGUUGAGCCGCAGUUCCUGUUGAUGCUUCUCUGGCCGUUCCCUGCAGCCGUGACCCCCUGACUGCGUUAUGCUGUCGCCAUGGAAACGUGGGAUCAGCGCAAAUUCCCGCUCCAGCACACACAUACGCGACCGCGCGCGCAUACACAGACACACACACACACACGCACACACACACGCACACUUCGUUAUGUAUCCACUUUAACAUAAAACGAAUCAGUAUCAACAAUGUACAAUAUUAUUUGAGGUGACGACACAAACAACACCUGACCAACAUCUGCCCUCCCAAGCUGAAAGUCAGGUUCGGUGACGGUCACUUCCUGUCAAGCUUAUGCUGGGUCACUAACUGGACUGCUGAAGAAACUUACAAGUGUGCAUCAUGGCUUUCUGGAUGAAGACCAAACAAAUGUUUGAAGCAGAUUUGUUGAUGGGAGUGUGAGAUCUGCUGUUAAGUCUGGACUGACUGUAUGGAGGUCAGCGAUCAGAUGUGAUUUAGGCCUGUCCAUGCCAGGCCAGUUGUGGAUGGCGGUACACCCAGCCUGAGGGAUUUUGGGUAUCUGAAUCAAUGACGAACAAUGCAGGCAGUCUGUGCAAAUAAAGGGUGGCAAUGGUGGGCUCAAAUCAUGGAACACAGAAGCCAACAUCCACACAGACAAAAAGCCAUGAAGAUGAUAAAACAGCAUUGUGGCUGAGAUUUUUGCACAGAAGAAAGAAAGUCAUACGGAACAUCAUGAGGCUUCUUUUAACUGCUUUCCUCACCUGGCCGUCCCCAUGGAGUUUACUCACAAUGCCUUGUGCCAGCACUACAGCUCCUCCCCCCUUCCCCAAUCUAGACUAACCAGUUCUCUAAACACCCCCAGACGUCUUUACAUUCACCCUGCUAUCUUGCAGGCUCUUUUUGUCCGUGUGUGUUUCUGUUUGGACAUUUUUGCUGGCCUCCAGCCAGUGUGUAUUGUGUGGUGAGAAAACAGUGGUUCAGGACAGGCCUCUGGGAAACUGGCUGUGUCUCUUUUAUUCUCAUCUCUGGACUGAAGACCCAAAAAUGACCAAUCACAUUCAGUCCAUGCUGUCCCCUGGCUCUGUCUCUGCUUGCUAAGUAUCCCCGAGGCCAGUCUCUCCCUCCUCUUCCCAUGUCUCCCAUCUCUGUCACACUCUAUUUUCUCUCUCUGACCAUCCAUCAAUCAUUUCUUUACAUCACGUUCUCCAUUCACCAUACAUCCAUCAGUGAGCCCACCCACCCAUCUGUCCCUCCCAGCCACCAUAUCUUCAUUUCUUGAAAAGAAUAGUUCAUCUAAAAAUGAAAUUUAUUUACUAUUUAUGGUAACACUUUACAAGGUUUCAUUUACUAACAAUGAACAGUCCUUCUAUAGCAUUUAUUAUUUAUUAAAAAUGUAAAGUUCAACAAUUAGUAAUACAUUUUUAAAAUCAAGUUGUAUCUGUGUAUUAGUUAAUGCACUGUGAACUAUCAUGAACAAUGAACAAUAGUAUUUUAAGUAACAAAGAUUAAUAAAUGCUGUAAACAUGGCUUAUUUAUAGUUUUUUUUUUUUUUUUAGCUAGUGCAUUAACUAACAUUAAAGGCACAAUAUGUAAUUUUCGCCGCUAGAGGUCACUUAUUCAAAACAUUACAAAGGCGUACAUAGGCGGAGCGUGUGUAAGGCUGGGGAAAGGCUUAGCCUUCCCCUGGCCAUGGGUCAAAAAUUAAUGGGGGCUUGGCCAAAAAUGCACCUGCACAUUUAAUCUACUAAUAAAGAUAAAAUGAAAAUUAAAUAAAGUGUCAAUUGUGGCAUUAAAUAUAUAUUUCUGCUCAUGUUGCGUUAUACUUUUUACACGUUUUACAGUGUUGCGCACUAAUCACACACAAUUCUGUUGACAUUAUAAUUGCAAUGGCCAUAUAGAGGCGUUCAGAUUAGUCAUCGCUGAAACCUGAGUUUUGUUCAGUGCGCGAGCUGAACACGGAAUUCUGACUGAUGCCGUUUCAUUAUUAUUAUUACAUUUUUAUUUGACAUGGACAUCACAGUUACUUUGGACGAACCAUAUGCACUUGCUUAAGUAUUUAGCACACAUGCUAAUUUUCAACACCAGUCCACGGGAGACUUUUCAGAGAGCAAAAAAGAAAGUGUCCAUGAUGUGUAACUCCAUUUUUAUCUGAGCAAAACCAUGUAUGAGAUUUCAGCGCUUUGACGGAGGAGAAAAUUGUUAGUCAACAUCAAUUUUAAAUCUCAGUCCAUGCUUUAUGCAAAGCUGUUUUAUAGCUAUAAGCUAUUUUUCUAAAUUUCUUCUUUUGUGUUCCAUAGAGAAAAUAGAGGCAUACCGGUUUGAAUUUACACGAGGGUGAAAUUAACUCAUCUAACUCUAACUCAUCAUUCCACACUCUUAAAAAUAAAGGUUCUUUAUUGACUUUGAUGGUUCCAUGAAGAACCUUUACAUCCUUGGAACCUAUACAUCAUUGCACAAAAAAUUCUUUAUAGUAGAAAAAGUUUCUUUACAUUUUUAAAAUGUUCUUCACACUAAGAAAAAUAUGGUUCUUUCAAGAACUGAUCACUGUAUGAUUCUUUAGGGAACCAAAAAUGGUUCUUCUAUGGCAUCAUUGCUAAAAACCCUCUUUUGGAACCUUUAUUUUUAAGAGUGCAUAUUUAUCCUCCAGUCUGUCUAUCUAUCUAUCCACCCAUCCAUCCACGGUACAAUAGUUUCCAUCUGUUUAAGCUCUAUAACACCUUUCUUCCAUUCUCACUCUUCCCCCCAAAAAACACCUCCAUUUGUGUCUCCUCUCAUCCCCCCAUUUCUGUAUUCUGACACUCCACCUUACUGCGACAUUCCCAACACAGACAGUCCAUCAGGAAUCCUCCUGCUGUCGAGCCGGGAUGUCCCACCCCCAACCUGCCUCCACCGGAUCCCAUGGGAUGAAGGGAUGGAGGAGGAAGAGGGUGGAGGUCUGAUGAAUAAGUGAUUAAGAUUGACAGUGUCUGGGGGUCUACUGUUGUGGUCUUUCUGAUCCCAGGCCACAAUUUUCAUUUUCUCUCGCUCAACUACACAAGCAGAACCCAUAAACCCACCCUCAGGUCCCUGAAGUAUCAUUAGCACAGGUGAAUGGUAUGUUUUUCUUUUUCUCUCUCUAUCUUUCUCUCUAAUGCAGGUUUUCUUUCCAGUUUCUCCUUGGAUGAACAUCAGGAUGACAGUGUGGGUGUUCACCGGCUUGACGCAAAAUGCAAAUUAAACAAACAGGAGAGACUUGCCCAUUUAGAAAAUCUCAUAUAUGGCUUUAUUAAAAACUGACAGCUCCCAGUCACCAGAUUUUGAGUUAGUGACAUUUUGAGCUCUAUUCCUCUGUCUUGAAAAUGCACACAGACAUGUCAUCCUAAAUAACCAUUGUCACAUAAUCAUGCUUAUUGUAUAUACAGGCUUAUUGAUAUCAAAUGCAUAUAUAAGAUAAUAAUGUCUAACACCCUUUAACCACCACUUUUUCACAAUAUUGCACGGCUUCUCAUUGCUUAAGGCCAUUAAAGGUCAAAGAAUCCAAUGUAUAGAUCCAUUAAUACUCCCUUUUUAAAUGCAGACCAUCAGUGUUGCCCCCUUUUAGUCACAGAUAGAAUAUCAUGUUUCCUAUCCAUUGUAAUAGGGUUUUAAAACACAAUUAUAUGCAAAUGGUCUUGAUAAUUGGAGAAGUGAAAGCACAUUAUAAGCAAAUGUCACAUUUUGAAAAGUAAGGGAGAAUGAGGGAGAAUUUUCACAUUAUAUCUAGGGCUGUAUCUCAGUAACUGUAAAGUUUUCAGUCAAUUAGUCAAUUACAUACAUGCUUAUUCACAACUUUUUUUGAAUAUUCCAUUAUCAUCAUAUAUUUCUGUGAAAGAUGUUGAGUAACAGGAUGGAAUUUUCACAAGUUCAUUCAUUGAGAAAAUUAACAAUGUUUACACACACACACACACACACAAAAAAAAGGGAACAUCCAGCUCAUAAAGUGCAAACUUCCAUUACAACAUAUUCGCUUACAUGAUGGAUAUACAAAGUACUCACCUGUGAAAUCCAAACAACAUUUGCGACCUGGGCGUCCAAAUAAUUUACAAAUGGAUUGGUUUGGAUUUUUAACUUUUAACAUAUUAUGUGUUUUAUCCUUUGGUAAAAUGCUGUUGAUCCUUGAUUGUGUUUUUCUGUUUUGAUGUGUAUUUGUAUGUUUGUUAUUGUAGCUGCUUUCUUGGCCAGGUCACUCUUGUAAAAGAGAUGAGUUUUUAACCUGGUUAAAUAAAGAAUGAUGAUGAUGAUGA
This is a long non-coding RNA of Ctenopharyngodon idella (grass carp), 4337 nucleotides long. RefSeq lists it as uncharacterized. Lineage: Eukaryota; Metazoa; Chordata; Actinopteri; Cypriniformes; Xenocyprididae. The transcript has 7 exons. The record is from RefSeq and is a predicted model, not a curated record.